RNAcentral lists this ribosomal RNA (515 nucleotides) under uncultured bacterium. RNAcentral's name for it is "partial 16S ribosomal RNA". It matches the Rfam family "Bacterial small subunit ribosomal RNA", at positions 28 to 523 of the family's 1533-position model. The record is from RNAcentral.
GAUGAACGCUGGCGGCGUGCCUAAUACAUGCAAGUCGAGCGAAUGGAUUAAGAGCUUGCUCUUAUGAAGUUAGCGGCGGACGGGUGAGUAACACGUGGGUAACCUGCCCAUAAGACUGGGAUAACUCCGGGAAACCGGGGCUAAUACCGGAUAACAUUUUGAACCGCAUGGUUCGAAAUUGAAAGGCGGCUUCGGCUGUCACUUAUGGAUGGACCCGCGUCGCAUUAGCUAGUUGGUGAGGUAACGGCUCACCAAGGCAACGAUGCGUAGCCGACCUGAGAGGGUGAUCGGCCACACUGGGACUGAGACACGGCCCAGACUCCUACGGGAGACAGCAGUAGGGAGUCUUCCGCAAUGGACGAAAGUCUGACGGAGCAACGCCGCGUGAGUGAUGAAGGCUUUCGGGUCGUAAAACUCUGUUGUUAGGGAAGAACAAGUGCUAGUUGAAUAAGCUGGCACCUUGACGGUACCUAGCCAGAAAGCCACGGCUAACUACGUGCCAGCCGCCGCGGUAA